ACACCUCAACUCCUCAUGGCUUGCCAUGAUGAGCUUGGACUUUGGGGGACUUGCUGGCCUGCAGUCAGCUCCUCUCAAAUGAAUCAGCUUACCAGUGUUUGGUGGCACCACAGGUGUGAUAAACAUCUACUCUUGUGGUCCUCCACCAUGUAACCUUCAGCAAUGGAGGUUCUCUGGAGCUCAUAAAUGUCUCUCCCCAGCGAGGACAACUUCUUGAAU
RNAcentral lists this unclassified non-coding RNA (219 nucleotides) under uncultured Tomentella. Its description in RNAcentral is "sequence contains ITS2". Lineage: Eukaryota; Fungi; Basidiomycota; Agaricomycetes; Thelephorales; Thelephoraceae. The record is from RNAcentral.